GUUAAGCGACUAAGCGUACACGGUGGAUGCCCUGGCAGUCAGAGGCGAUGAAGGACGUGCUAAUCUGCGAUAAGCGUCGGUAAGGUGAUAUGAACCGUUAUAACCGGCGAUUUCCGAAUGGGGAAACCCAGUGUGUUUCGACACACUAUCAUUAACUGAAUCCAUAGGUUAAUGAGGCGAACCGGGGGAACUGAAACAUCUAAGUACCCCGAGGAAAAGAAAUCAACCGAGAUUCCCCCAGUAGCGGCGAGCGAACGGGGAGCAGCCCAGAGCCUGAAUCAGUGUGUGUGUUAGUGGAAGCGUCUGGAAAGGCGCGCGAUACAGGGUGACAGCCCCGUACACAAAAAUGCACAUGCUGUGAGCUCGAUGAGUAGGGCGGGACACGUGGUAUCCUGUCUGAAUAUGGGGGGACCAUCCUCCAAGGCUAAAUACUCCUGACUGACCGAUAGUGAACCAGUACCGUGAGGGAAAGGCGAAAAGAACCCCGGCGAGGGGAGUGAAAAAGAACCUGAAACCGUGUACGUACAAGCAGUGGGAGCACGCUUAGGCGUGUGACUGCGUACCUUUUGUAUAAUGGGUCAGCGACUUAUAUUCUGUAGCAAGGUUAACCGAAUAGGGGAGCCGAAGGGAAACCGAGUCUUAACUGGGCGUUAAGUUGCAGGGUAUAGACCCGAAACCCGGUGAUCUAGCCAUGGGCAGGUUGAAGGUUGGGUAACACUAACUGGAGGACCGAACCGACUAAUGUUGAAAAAUUAGCGGAUGACUUGUGGCUGGGGGUGAAAGGCCAAUCAAACCGGGAGAUAGCUGGUUCUCCCCGAAAGCUAUUUAGGUAGCGCCUCGUGAAUUCAUCUCCGGGGGUAGAGCACUGUUUCGGCAAGGGGGUCAUCCCGACUUACCAACCCGAUGCAAACUGCGAAUACCGGAGAAUGUUAUCACGGGAGACACACGGCGGGUGCUAACGUCCGUCGUGAAGAGGGAAACAACCCAGACCGCCAGCUAAGGUCCCAAAGUCAUGGUUAAGUGGGAAACGAUGUGGGAAGGCCCAGACAGCCAGGAUGUUGGCUUAGAAGCAGCCAUCAUUUAAAGAAAGCGUAAUAGCUCACUGGUCGAGUCGGCCUGCGCGGAAGAUGUAACGGGGCUAAACCAUGCACCGAAGCUGCGGCAGCGACACUAUGUGUUGUUGGGUAGGGGAGCGUUCUGUAAGCCUGUGAAGGUGUGCUGUGAGGCAUGCUGGAGGUAUCAGAAGUGCGAAUGCUGACAUAAGUAACGAUAAAGCGGGUGAAAAGCCCGCUCGCCGGAAGACCAAGGGUUCCUGUCCAACGUUAAUCGGGGCAGGGUGAGUCGACCCCUAAGGCGAGGCCGAAAGGCGUAGUCGAUGGGAAACAGGUUAAUAUUCCUGUACUUGGUGUUACUGCGAAGGGGGGACGGAGAAGGCUAUGUUGGCCGGGCGACGGUUGUCCCGGUUUAAGCGUGUAGGCUGGUUUUCCAGGCAAAUCCGGAAAAUCAAGGCUGAGGCGUGAUGACGAGGCACUACGGUGCUGAAGCAACAAAUGCCCUGCUUCCAGGAAAAGCCUCUAAGCAUCAGGUAACAUCAAAUCGUACCCCAAACCGACACAGGUGGUCAGGUAGAGAAUACCAAGGCGCUUGAGAGAACUCGGGUGAAGGAACUAGGCAAAAUGGUGCCGUAACUUCGGGAGAAGGCACGCUGAUAUGUAGGUGAGGUCCCUCGCGGAUGGAGCUGAAAUCAGUCGAAGAUACCAGCUGGCUGCAACUGUUUAUUAAAAACACAGCACUGUGCAAACACGAAAGUGGACGUAUACGGUGUGACGCCUGCCCGGUGCCGGAAGGUUAAUUGAUGGGGUUAGCGCAAGCGAAGCUCUUGAUCGAAGCCCCGGUAAACGGCGGCCGUAACUAUAACGGUCCUAAGGUAGCGAAAUUCCUUGUCGGGUAAGUUCCGACCUGCACGAAUGGCGUAAUGAUGGCCAGGCUGUCUCCACCCGAGACUCAGUGAAAUUGAACUCGCUGUGAAGAUGCAGUGUACCCGCGGCAAGACGGAAAGACCCCGUGAACCUUUACUAUAGCUUGACACUGAACAUUGAGCCUUGAUGUGUAGGAUAGGUGGGAGGCUUUGAAGUGUGGACGCCAGUCUGCAUGGAGCCGACCUUGAAAUACCACCCUUUAAUGUUUGAUGUUCUAACGUUGACCCGUAAUCCGGGUUGCGGACAGUGUCUGGUGGGUAGUUUGACUGGGGCGGUCUCCUCCUAAAGAGUAACGGAGGAGCACGAAGGUUGGCUAAUCCUGGUCGGACAUCAGGAGGUUAGUGCAAUGGCAUAAGCCAGCUUGACUGCGAGCGUGACGGCGCGAGCAGGUGCGAAAGCAGGUCAUAGUGAUCCGGUGGUUCUGAAUGGAAGGGCCAUCGCUCAACGGAUAAAAGGUACUCCGGGGAUAACAGGCUGAUACCGCCCAAGAGUUCAUAUCGACGGCGGUGUUUGGCACCUCGAUGUCGGCUCAUCACAUCCUGGGGCUGAAGUAGGUCCCAAGGGUAUGGCUGUUCGCCAUUUAAAGUGGUACGCGAGCUGGGUUUAGAACGUCGUGAGACAGUUCGGUCCCUAUCUGCCGUGGGCGCUGGAGAACUGAGGGGGGCUGCUCCUAGUACGAGAGGACCGGAGUGGACGCAUCACUGGUGUUCGGGUUGUCAUGCCAAUGGCACUGCCCGGUAGCUAAAUGCGGAAGAGAUAAGUGCUGAAAGCAUCUAAGCACGAAACUUGCC
This 2770-nucleotide ribosomal RNA is filed under the name Escherichia coli. RNAcentral describes it as "partial 23S ribosomal RNA". It matches the Rfam family "Bacterial large subunit ribosomal RNA". Lineage: Bacteria; Pseudomonadati; Pseudomonadota; Gammaproteobacteria; Enterobacterales; Enterobacteriaceae. The record is from RNAcentral.